RNAcentral lists this ribosomal RNA (460 nucleotides) under uncultured bacterium. Its description in RNAcentral is "partial 16S ribosomal RNA". It matches the Rfam family "Bacterial small subunit ribosomal RNA", at positions 338 to 795 of the family's 1533-position model. The record is from RNAcentral.
CCUACGGGAGGCAGCAGUGAGGAAUAUUGGUCAAUGGACGCAAGUCUGAACCAGCCAUGCCGCGUGCAGGAUGACGGCUCUAUGAGUUGUAAACUGCUUUUGUACGAGGGUAAACCCCGAUACGUGUGUCGGGUUGAAAGUAUCGUACGACUAAGGAUCGGCUAACUCCGUGCCAGCAGCCGCGGGAAUACGGAGGAUCCGAGCGUUAUCCGGAUUUAUUGGGGUUAAAGGGUGCGUAGUCGGGUUGAUAAGUGAGAGGUGAAAUGUCGGGGCUCAACCCCGGAACUGCAUCUGAUACUGUUGGACUAGAGAAUAGUUGCGGUAGGCGGAAUGUAUGGUGUAGCGGUGAAAUGCGUAGAGAUUAGACAGAACACCGAUUGCGAAGGCAGCUUACCAAACUAUAUCUGACGUUGAGGCACGAAAGCGUGGGGAGCAAACAGGAUUAGAUACCCUAGUAGUC